UCUGCCCAAUCGACUCCAAAAAA
This 23-nucleotide microRNA is filed under the name Tetranychus urticae (two-spotted spider mite). RNAcentral describes it as "tur-miR-5736b-3p". Lineage: Eukaryota; Metazoa; Arthropoda; Arachnida; Trombidiformes; Tetranychidae. The record is from miRBase by way of RNAcentral.